Molecule: ribosomal RNA, 382 nt
Filed under: uncultured eukaryote
Lineage: Eukaryota
Description: partial 18S ribosomal RNA
Rfam family: Eukaryotic small subunit ribosomal RNA
Source: RNAcentral
UGUAAGCGUAUACCAAAGUUGUUGCAGUUAAAACGCUCGUAGUCGGAAUUUGGCAGUUCCGGAUGUGUGCACGUCGUGUGCGCACUUCGCGGGGAUUGCUUUUGUGGUCUUGCGUAGGAUGAGGCACUUUUAUUAGUGAACGUCCUCACGCAACCACUUUUUACUGUGAGAAAAUCAGAGUGCUCAAAGCAGGCAUUUGCCGUGAAUGUAUUAGCAUGGAAUAAUAGAAUAGGACUUGGUUCUAUUUUGUUGGUUUGUUGGGACUGAGUAAUGAUUAAGAGGGACAGUUGGGGGCAUUUGUAUUUCGGUGCUAGAGGUGAAAUUCUUAGAUUACCGAAAUACAAACUGCUGCGAAAGCGUCUGCCAAGGAUGUUUUCAUUGA